GACGAACGCUGGCGGCGUGCUUAACACAUGCAAGUCGAACGGAAAGGCCCUGCUUUUGUGGGGUGCUCGAGUGGCGAACGGGUGAGUAACACGUGAGUAACCUGCCCUUGACUUUGGGAUAACUUCAGGAAACUGGGGCUAAUACCGGAUAGGAGCUCCUGCUGCAUGGUGUGGGUUGGAAAGUUUCGGCGGUUGGGGAUGGACUCGCGGCUUAUCAGCUUGUUGGUGGGGUAGGGGCUUACCAAGGCUUUGACGGGUAGCCGGCCUGAGAGGGUGACCGGCCACAUGGGGACUGAGAGACGGCCCGGACUCAUACGGGAGGCAGAAGUGGGGAAUAUUGCACAAUGGGCGGAAGCCUGAUGCAGCAACGCCGCGUGCGGGAUGACGGCCUUCGGGUUGUAAACCGCUUUCGCCUGUGACGAAGCGUGAGUGACGGUAAUGGGUAAAGAAGCACCGGCUAACUACGUG
Molecule: ribosomal RNA, 468 nt
Filed under: uncultured bacterium
Lineage: Bacteria
Description: partial 16S ribosomal RNA
Rfam family: Bacterial small subunit ribosomal RNA
Source: RNAcentral